RNAcentral lists this transfer RNA (75 nucleotides) under Mycobacterium phage Tourach. Its description in RNAcentral is "tRNA-Leu". It matches the Rfam family "tRNA". Rfam says of the family: Transfer RNA (tRNA) molecules are approximately 80 nucleotides in length. Their secondary structure includes four short double-helical elements and three loops (D, anti-codon, and T loops). RNAcentral also lists the same sequence under 1 other name. Lineage: Duplodnaviria; Heunggongvirae; Uroviricota; Caudoviricetes; Vilmaviridae. The record is from RNAcentral.
GGCCCUCUAGCCCAAUUGGCAGAGGCAAUAGGCUUAGACCCUAUCCAGUGCGAGUUCGAGUCUCGCGGGGGCCAC